Molecule: ribosomal RNA, 492 nt
Filed under: uncultured bacterium
Lineage: Bacteria
Description: partial 16S ribosomal RNA
Rfam family: Bacterial small subunit ribosomal RNA
Source: RNAcentral
AGUGAACGCUGGCGGUAUGCCUAACACAUGCAAGUCGAACGGCCGCACAGUAAGAGCUUGCCCUUACGGGUGGCGAGUGGCGGACGGGUGAGGAAUACAUCGGAAUCUACUUUUUCGUGGGGGAUAACGUAGGGAAACUUACGCUAAUACCGCAUACGACCUACGGGUGAAAGCAGUGGAUCUUCGGACCUUGCGCGAUUGAAUGAGCCGAUGUCGCAUUAGCUAGUUGGCGGGGUAAAGGCCCACCAAGGCGACGAUCCGUAGCUGGUCUGAGAGGAUGAUCAGCCACACUGGAACUGAGACACGGUCCAGACUCCUACGGGAGGCAGCAGUGGGGAAUAUUGGGCAAUGGGCGCAAGCCUGAUCCAGCCAUACCGCGUGGGUGAAGAAGGCCUUCGGGUUGUAAAGCCCUGUUGUUGGGAAAGAAAAGAAGCAGGUGAAUACCCCGCUGUUCUGACGGUACCCAAAGAAUAAGCACCGGCUAACUUCGUG